Molecule: non-coding RNA, 620 nt
Organism: Podarcis lilfordi (Lilford's wall lizard)
Lineage: Eukaryota; Metazoa; Chordata; Lepidosauria; Squamata; Lacertidae
Source: the annotation of a GenBank genome assembly
UCCUAUCUGUUUUGUAAUUCAAGACAUCUCUCUAUGUGACGAACCUCUGAUAUUUCGAUGGGGCUCAACAGCACCACCCACAGCACCUGGGAUGUUAACACUCCCACAGCAAACCUUGGAUGGAUGGCUAUUGAUUGUUUUCCCUGUGAAUAUUCUGCCUUUUAAAACCCUGACCAGGAUGUCUGAACUGCCCAGGCCUUCUUAAAUGUAGGCUUCAGAGUGAUUUGAGGUGUUAAAGUAGCUUCAGUCAAGUUUUUUGCUUCUGUUCUUGUUUUGUGUCUCUCUUUGGUUGACCAAAGAGUCGACUGACAUUGGAGAUGGCACAGAUUCCACAACUGGACCAAACAAACUCCAUCCCAGAAAAGAGCUAGGCUUUUUGAAUCUCAGGCAUUGAACAUCAAACAUUUAAAAAUUCCCCAUACAGAGGUGCCUUCAGAAGUCCUCUAAGUUGCAUAGUUAUCUCCUUGACAUCUGAUGGGAGGGCGUUCCACAGGGUGGGUGCCCCUACCGAGAAGGCCCCCUGCCUCGUCCCCUGUAACUUCUUGCAGUAAUGUAACAUUUAAGUAAGGGCACUUGAGUCAUAAUAAUGCCGAUAUCACAAGUUUCUGCUGCAUGCUGUG